Molecule: long non-coding RNA, 160 nt
Organism: Sander lucioperca (pikeperch)
Lineage: Eukaryota; Metazoa; Chordata; Actinopteri; Perciformes; Percidae
Exons: 3
Source: RefSeq, a predicted model, not a curated record
UACAGAAGAACUCAUCAGGAUCAAAGUCUGGCCUAAGUAAAUUCCCCCAUGCAGCUUUGAUGUGUCUAAAAGCUAACAUUACAGUAACUUUUCUUUAACAGAGUAGAAAUAGAAGAAAUGGAUAUGUCUGUCACUUUUUACUUAUUAUUAUUAACAACUU